RNAcentral lists this ribosomal RNA (253 nucleotides) under uncultured bacterium. Its description in RNAcentral is "partial 16S ribosomal RNA". It matches the Rfam family "Bacterial small subunit ribosomal RNA", at positions 524 to 776 of the family's 1533-position model. The record is from RNAcentral.
UACGUAGGUGACCAGCGUUGUCCGGAUUUACUGGGCGUAAAGGGCGCGUAGGCGGCCCGGUAAGUCAAAGGUGAAAUCCCUCGGCUCAACUGAGGAACUGCCUUUGAAACUGUCGGGCUUGAGGCCGGGAGGGGGUAGCGGAAUUCCCAGUGUAGCGGUGAAAUGCGUAGAUAUUGGGAGGAACACCAGUGGCGAAGGCGGCUAACUGGCCCGGUACUGACGCUGAAAUACGAAAGCGUGGGGAGCAAACAGG